RNAcentral lists this ribosomal RNA (492 nucleotides) under uncultured bacterium. Its description in RNAcentral is "partial 16S ribosomal RNA". It matches the Rfam family "Bacterial small subunit ribosomal RNA", at positions 29 to 507 of the family's 1533-position model. The record is from RNAcentral.
AGUGAACGCUGGCGGUAGGCCUAACACAUGCAAGUCGAACGGCAGCACAGUAAGAGCUUGCUCUUACGGGUGGCGAGUGGCGGACGGGUGAGGAAUACAUCGGAAUCUACUUUUUCGUGGGGGAUAACGUAGGGAAACUUACGCUAAUACCGCAUACGACCUACGGGUGAAAGCAGGGGAUCUUCGGACCUUGCGCGAUUGAAUGAGCCGAUGUCGGAUUAGCUAGUUGGCGGGGUAAAGGCCCACCAAGGCGACGAUCCGCAGCUGGUCUGAGAGGGUGAUCAGCCACACUGGAACUGAGACACGGUCCAGACUCCUACGGGAGGCAGCAGUGGGGAAUAUUGGACAAUGGGCGCAAGCCUGAUCCAGCCAUACCGCGUGGGUGAAGAAGGCCUUCGGGUUGUAAAGCCCUUUUGUUGGGAAAGAAAAGCAGCAGGUUAAUACCCCGCUGUUCUGACGGUACCCAAAGAAUAAGCACCGGCUAACUUCGUG